GAUGAAGAACGUAGCGAAAUGCGAUACGUAAUGUGAAUUGCAGAAUUCAGUGAAUCAUCGAGUCUUUGAACGCACAUUGCGCCCCCUGGUAUUCCGGGGGGCAUGCCUGUCCGAGCGUCAUUGCUGCCCUCAAGCACGGCUUGUGUGUUGGGCCUCCGUCCUCCUCCCGGGGGACGGGCCCGAAAGGCAGCGGCGCCACCGCGUCCGGUCCUCGAGCGUAUGGGGCUUCGUCACCCGCUCUUGUAGGCCCGGCCGGCGCUUGCCGACACAUCAAUCUUUUUUCCAGGUUGACAUCGGAUCAGGUAGGGAUACCCGCUGAACUUAAGCAUAUCAAUAAGCGGAGGA
RNAcentral lists this unclassified non-coding RNA (345 nucleotides) under soil metagenome. RNAcentral describes it as "partial contains 5.8S ribosomal RNA, internal transcribed spacer 2, and large subunit ribosomal RNA". The stretch from base 1 to 120 matches the Rfam family "5.8S ribosomal RNA", at positions 35 to 154 of the family's 154-position model. The record is from RNAcentral.